AUACAUGCAAGUCGAGCGCACAGAAGGGAGCUUGCUCCCGGACGUGAGCGGCGGAUGGGUGAGUAACACGUGGGCAACCUGCCUGUAAGACGGGGAUAACUUCGGGAAACCGGAGCUAAUACCGGAUAAUCCCUAGACACCAGCAUGGUGCGAGAUUGAAAGAUGGUUUCGGCACAUCACUUACAGAUGGGCCCGCGGUCCAUUAGUUAGUUGGCCGGGUAACGGCCCACCAAGACCGCGAGUGCAUAGCCGACCUGGAGAGGGUGGAUCGGCCACAUUGGGACUGAGACACGGCCCAAACUCCUACGGGAGGCAGCAGUAGGGAAUCUUCCACAAUGGACGAAAGUCUGAUGGAGCAACGCCGCGUGAGCGAAGAAGGUUUUCGGAUCGUAAAGCUCUGUUGCCGGAGAAGAACGAGUGCCAGAGGAAAUGCUGGUGCUGUGACGGUAUCCGGCCAGAAAGCCACGGCUAACUACGUGCCAGCAGCCGCGGUAAUACGUAGGUGGCAAGCGUUGUCCGGAAUUAUUGGGCGUAAAGCGCGCGCAGGGCGGCUUCUUAAGUCUGAUGUGAAAUCUUGCGGCUCAACCGCAAAAGGUCAUUGGAAACUGGGGAGCUUGAGUGCAGAAGAGGAGAGUAGAAUUCCACGUGUAGCGGUGAAAUGCGUAGAGAUGUGGAGGAAUACCAGUGGCGAAGGCGGCUCUCUGGUCUGUUACUGACGCUGAGGUGCGAAAGCAUGGGGAGCAAACAGGAUUAGAUACCCUGGUAGUCCAUGCCCGUAAACGAUGAAUGCUAGGUGUUAGGGGGGUCCAACCCCUUAGUGCUGAAAUUUAACACAUUAAGCAUUCCCCCUGGGGAGUACCAACCCCAAGGUUGAAACUCAAAGGAAUUGACGGGGGCCCGCACAAGCAGUGGAGCAUGUGGUUUAAUUCGAAGCAACGCGAAGAACCUUACCAGGUCUUGACAUCCUCUGACAAGCCUAGAGAUAGGCCGUUCCCCUUCGGGGGACAGAGUGACAGGUGGUGCAUGGUUGUCGUCAGCUCGUGUCGUGAGAUGUUGGGUUAAGUCCCGCAACGAGCGCAACCCUUGAUCUUAGUUGCCAGCAUUAAGUUGGGCACUCUAAGGUGACUGCCGGUGACAAACCGGAGGAAGGUGGGGAUGACGUCAAAUCAUCAUGCCCCUUAUGAUCUGGGCUACACACGUGCUACAAUGGGCGGUACAAAGGGCAGCGAAACCGCAAGGUCAAGCCAAUCCCAUAAAGCCGCCCCCAGUUCGGAUUGCAGGCUGCAACUCGCCUGCAUGAAGCCGGAAUUGCUAGUAAUCGCGGAUCAGCAUGCCGCGGUGAAUCCGUUCCCGGGCCUUGUACACACCGCCCGUCACACCACGAGAGUUUGUAACACCCGAAGUCGGUGUGGGAACCUUUAUGGACCCAGCCGCCGAAGGUG
This 1442-nucleotide ribosomal RNA is filed under the name Sporolactobacillus inulinus CASD. RNAcentral describes it as "16S ribosomal RNA". It matches the Rfam family "Bacterial small subunit ribosomal RNA". Lineage: Bacteria; Bacillati; Bacillota; Bacilli; Caryophanales; Sporolactobacillaceae. The record is from RNAcentral.